AAAUUGAAGAGUUUGAUCAUGGCUCAGAUUGAACGCUGGCGGCAGGCCUAACACAUGCAAGUCGAACGGUAACAGGAAGAAGCUUGCUUCUUUGCUGACGAGUGGCGGACGGGUGAGUAAUGUCUGGGAAACUGCCUGAUGGAGGGGGAUAACUACUGGAAACGGUAGCUAAUACCGCAUAACGUCGCAAGACCAAAGAGGGGGACCUUCGGGCCUCUUGCCAUCGGAUGUGCCCAGAUGGGAUUAGCUAGUAGGUGGGGUAAA
This 264-nucleotide ribosomal RNA is filed under the name Escherichia coli. RNAcentral describes it as "partial 16S ribosomal RNA". It matches the Rfam family "Bacterial small subunit ribosomal RNA", at positions 1 to 261 of the family's 1533-position model. The record is from RNAcentral. Lineage: Bacteria; Pseudomonadati; Pseudomonadota; Gammaproteobacteria; Enterobacterales; Enterobacteriaceae.